UGUUUGUCUUAGCAGAUAGGUUCCCAAAUAUUUUAUAUUGUUCAAAAUGAUUUUAAAUGGAGUUUCUCUUUCUAAAUCUUAGGUCUGAUUUUUGUUUGAAUAUAUAAAGAAAUAUUGAUGAUUUAUGUGAGUUUAUUUUUUACCCUGCAACUUUGCCAAAGUUGUUAAUUAUUUCCAAAACCCAUCUGGAAAAAUAAUUAAGUCUUAUGGAACCAUAAUCAAGAUAAAAUAAGAUAUGGCAAAUUCUAAAUUAAAAGAACAGAGGACUUAGAAUAUGGUAUUCUUGAGGGCAAAGGGGAGAGAAUUAUAAUCAAGAAUCCCUUAUUCAGAAAAACUCAAUAUCGUUCUUUGGGGGAAACAAGGAUAUUUGAUGAAAUAGAGGGAUUUCAAGCAUUCAUGAUGAAAAAAACUAGGGCUGAUGAGAAAAUUUGACUUCCAAAUACAAAUCUCAAGAGAAGUUAUAAAGGUGGGCUUGAAAUCAGGUCUUCCAAUCUAAGUCUACCACAACCCACAAUGCUAUCUAGAUCUCUUCAAGUAAUAAUGCCAUUUAUAAAGUUAUUGAUUCUCAAAGUGCUUUAUAUAUAACUUAUUUGUUUCUCAAAACAACUUUGUGAGGUACACAAAGAUUUUAAAUUUCCUGUUUUUCAGAGGAGGGAACAGACACAAGGACAUGUUAAAUGACUUGGACUGGGUCACACAGCAGCUAAGUUUCUAAGAGAACACAAUUCCUCAAAUGGAUUGGAGAUUAAGGGAUAACUAGGUAGAGGCUGACAUAUAAUGGAUUAUAAUCAAGUAGAGCUUUGAAUCAGCCUAAGGGUACAAAUUGGAUGCCUGAAGUCUGUACUACUUCAAACUUGGCUUAGAGAUUCUGACUCACAUGAAGAUCCACUUCCUGAGAGGGAGCCAGGAGAAUGGAAACUACUGCAAUUAUUGAGGAGAAAGAAUCAUGAUUUGCUUGGAAAAUUAUUAAGCAGUUAGAAAAAAGGGAGAAUGAAGUGAUCUCAAUCCAGCAGUAGAUUAUGAUUCAAUUAACACUGAUAAUUUUUUAAAGCAAGAUGCCCAGAGAAAAUGAAAGUUCCCUUAAAAUAUUUCAAAUUUUCUUCACCAACAAUAUAAUGGGAAUAAUAAUUGUAAUACAUGUUAUAUAUUAUUGUUCAUCAAAUGCAGAAAAAAGACUAAAUGCUUCAAAUAGCCACAUUCAUAUCUACCAUACUCAUUGACUUUCAAAAUAUAAUAUUUAUAGAUGUUGUUAUGAGUAUGUGUGGAUUUAACAUGUCUAUGUUUGAAGAAAUAAUCUCAAAAAACAUAAAGAUUGAAC
Monodelphis domestica (gray short-tailed opossum) is the source of this 1318-nucleotide long non-coding RNA. RefSeq lists it as uncharacterized. Lineage: Eukaryota; Metazoa; Chordata; Mammalia; Didelphimorphia; Didelphidae. The record is from RefSeq and is a predicted model, not a curated record.